GAAGAAAGUGAACGCUGGCCC
This 21-nucleotide non-coding RNA is filed under the name Rattus norvegicus (Norway rat). Lineage: Eukaryota; Metazoa; Chordata; Mammalia; Rodentia; Muridae. The record is from RNAcentral.